RNAcentral lists this transfer RNA (69 nucleotides) under Rattus norvegicus (Norway rat). It matches the Rfam family "tRNA". Rfam says of the family: Transfer RNA (tRNA) molecules are approximately 80 nucleotides in length. Their secondary structure includes four short double-helical elements and three loops (D, anti-codon, and T loops). Lineage: Eukaryota; Metazoa; Chordata; Mammalia; Rodentia; Muridae. The record is from Rfam by way of RNAcentral.
GGGGAUUUAGCUCAGUGGUAGAGCGCUUGCCUAGCAAGCGCAAGGUCCUGGGUUCGGUCCCCAGCCCCG